AGUGCCUCGCAAGAGGAGACCUGGAGACAGGUGCUGCAUGGCUGUCGUCAGCUCGUGUCGUGAGAUGUUGGUUAAGUCCCGCAACGAGCGCAACCCCUAUCUUUAGUUGCCAUCAUUGAGUUGGGCACUCUAAAGAGACUGCCGGUGUCGAAACCGGAGAAGGUGGGGAUGACGUCAAGUCCUCAUGGCCUUUAUGACCAGGGCUACACACGUACUACAAUGGCCGGUACAAAGGGCAGCGACACAGCGAUGUGAAGCGAAAUCCCGAAAAGCCGGUCUCAGUCCGGAUUGGAGUCUGCAACUCGACUCCAUGAAGUUGGAAUCGCUAGUAAUCGCGGAUCAGCACGCCGCGGUGAAUACGUUCCCGGGCCUU
RNAcentral lists this ribosomal RNA (373 nucleotides) under uncultured Desulfocapsa sp. RNAcentral's name for it is "bacterial SSU rRNA". It matches the Rfam family "Bacterial small subunit ribosomal RNA", at positions 1011 to 1382 of the family's 1533-position model. Lineage: Bacteria; Pseudomonadati; Thermodesulfobacteriota; Desulfobulbia; Desulfobulbales; Desulfocapsaceae. The record is from RNAcentral.